This 691-nucleotide unclassified non-coding RNA is filed under the name Armillaria gallica. RNAcentral's name for it is "partial contains large subunit ribosomal RNA and intergenic spacer 1". The stretch from base 1 to 77 matches the Rfam family "Eukaryotic large subunit ribosomal RNA", at positions 3325 to 3401 of the family's 3401-position model. The record is from RNAcentral. Lineage: Eukaryota; Fungi; Basidiomycota; Agaricomycetes; Agaricales; Physalacriaceae.
GAACGGGGUACUGUAAGUGGUAGAGUAGCCUUGUUGCUACGAUCCACUGAGGUUAAGCCCUUGUUCUAAAGAUUUGUUCAACUUUGUUGGACUUUCUCUUUUCUUUUUACAUGCUGAGACCUUGAGGGCCGGGAUAGUAUCYUUUGUGCACUCGCGACAGCAUGUUACUUAGAUUCGAAAGGGUAGGCUAACAACAACGCCUUAGUGUUUUGUUACCUUUCUCUUUUGAAUCACGAGUUAUUAUGAGCCUUGAAGGCUUAUAAGGCACUUAUUUAGCAAGCUCUAACCGUGCGCUGACUUGGAACGGUCUUUACCUUGUACUUGAUAUCGACCUUAUGGCCGAUAUCCCGUAUAUGGUAUAGCCAAGAUCCUUGAAAGGGCGAGUCAACGACUGAUUUUCUGGAUCGUUAGUGAGCCUGAGGGCCUGCCCUAAGGUUGCCAUGAUUGAAAAGGCCUUAGAAGCUAAGUAAGUUAAGCUACGGUUACCUUUUUAGCCGUUUCAACCGUUUGCUUAGCUUUCGAGGGCUACGUUCAAAAUUUGAACGGCAACCGGUUCUGAAACGAAAGGUUUGCUAAGUAAACCAUUGGUCAAGACCGGUUUGCAACAAUUUUGGUGGCUGUAGGGCGAGUUUUCAUUGACUUGGCCUAUAAUGCGAGCUGGUAACAAAACGCAAUAAAAUGCACACUUGUU